GACGAACGCUGGCGGCGUGCCUAAUACAUGCAAGUAGAACGCUGAAGGAGGAGCUUGCUCUUCUGGAUGAGUUGCGAACGGGUGAGUAACGCGUAGGUAACCUGCCUGGUAGCGGGGGAUAACUAUUGGAAACGAUAGCUAAUACCGCAUAAUAGUAGAUGUUGCAUGAUAUUUACUUAAAAGGUGCAAUUGCACCACUACCAGAUGGACCUGCGUUGUAUUAGCUAGUUGGUGGGGUAACGGCUCACCAAGGCGACGAUACAUAGCCGACCUGAGAGGGUGAUCGGCCACACUGGGACUGAGACACGGCCCAGACUCCUACGGGAGGCAGCAGUAGGGAAUCUUCGGCAAUGGACGAAAGUCUGAACGAGCAACGCCGCGUGAGUGAAGAAGGUUUUCGGAUCGUAAAGCUCUGUUGUAAGAGAAGAACGAGUGUGAGAGUGGAAAGUUCACACUGUGACGGUAUCUUACCAGAAAGGGACGGCUAACUACGUG
RNAcentral lists this ribosomal RNA (495 nucleotides) under uncultured bacterium. RNAcentral describes it as "partial 16S ribosomal RNA". It matches the Rfam family "Bacterial small subunit ribosomal RNA", at positions 28 to 507 of the family's 1533-position model. The record is from RNAcentral.